Molecule: ribosomal RNA, 492 nt
Filed under: uncultured bacterium
Lineage: Bacteria
Description: partial 16S ribosomal RNA
Rfam family: Bacterial small subunit ribosomal RNA
Source: RNAcentral
AGUGAACGCUGGCGGUAGGCCUAACACAUGCAAGUCGAACGGCAGCACAGUAAGAGCUUGCUCUUACGGGUGGCGAGUGGCGGACGGGUGAGGAAUACAUCGGAAUCUACUUUUUCGUGGGGGAUAACGUAGGGAAACUUACGCUAAUACCGCAUACGACCUACGGGUGAAAGCAGGGGAUCUUCGGACCUUGCGCGAUUGAAUGAGCCGAUGUCGGAUUAGCUAGUUGGCGGGGUAAAGGCCCACCAAGGCGGCGAUCCGUAGCUGGUCUGAGAGGAUGGUCAGCCACACUGGAACUGAGACACGGUCCAGACUCCUACGGGAGGCAGCAGUGGGGAAUAUUGGACAAUGGGCGCAAGCCUGAUCCAGCCAUACCGCGUGGGUGAAGAAGGCCUUCGGGUUGUAAAGCCCUUUUGUUGGGAAAGAAAAGCAGCAGGUUAAUACCCCGCUGUUCUGACGGUACCCAAAGAAGAAGCACCGGCUAACUUCGUG